CAACGACUGAUCUUAAGCAUAUCAAUAAGCGGAGGAAAAGAGACUGACAAGGAUUCCCCUAGUACGCGCGAGUGAAGCGUGAACAGCUCAAAUUCGAAGCCCGGCGUCCGUAGGGCGUGCGGAUUGUAUUCUAGAGAAGCGUCUUCCACGCUGGUCCACGUAUACAGUGCUCUGAAACGGGCUGUGAUAGAGGGUGAGAAUCCCGUCCUUGACGUGGGCGUAGCGCAGUGUUUUUGUGAUGCGCUUUCUAAGAGUACGAGUUGUUUGGGAAUCGCAUGUCUCAAAGUGGGUGGUAAAUUCCAUCUAAAGCUAAAUAUUGGCCUGAGCCCGAUAGCGAUCAAGUACCGUGAGGGAAAGAUGAAAAGCCCUUUGAAAAGAGAGUCAAACAGUACGUGAAAUUGCUGAAAGGGAAACGCUUGGAGUCAGUCGCGCCACCUGGAAUUCAACCCUGCUUUUGUAGGGUGUACUUUCCAGGAGGCGGGCCAACAUCAGAUUUUGAGCGGCAGAUAAAGGCUGGGGGAAUGUGGCUCCUUCGGGAGUGUUAUAGCCCCCGGUCACAUAGGCCGGUUGGGUAUUGAGGAACGCAGCGCGCCCUUGUGGCAGGCCUUCGGGCACUUUCGCGCUUAGGAUGUUGGCAUAAUGGCUUUAAGCGACCCGUCGUGAAACACGG
RNAcentral lists this ribosomal RNA (670 nucleotides) under uncultured fungus. RNAcentral describes it as "eukaryotic LSU rRNA". It matches the Rfam family "Eukaryotic large subunit ribosomal RNA", at positions 23 to 664 of the family's 3401-position model. The record is from RNAcentral. Lineage: Eukaryota; Fungi.